UACGAAGGGGGCUAGCGUUGUUCGGAAUUACUGGGCGUAAAGCGCACGUAGGCGGCACUGUAAGUUGGGGGUGAAAUCCCGGAGCUCAACUCCGGAACUGCCUUCAAUACUGCAGAGCUAGAGGAUGCGAGAGGUGAGUGGAAUUCCGAGUGUAGAGGUGAAAUUCGUAGAUAUUCGGAAGAACACCAGUGGCGAAGGCGGCUCACUGGCGCAUAUCUGACGCUGAGGUGCGAAAGCGUGGGUAGCAAACAGG
RNAcentral lists this ribosomal RNA (253 nucleotides) under uncultured bacterium. RNAcentral's name for it is "partial 16S ribosomal RNA". It matches the Rfam family "Bacterial small subunit ribosomal RNA", at positions 524 to 776 of the family's 1533-position model. The record is from RNAcentral.